Molecule: ribosomal RNA, 403 nt
Filed under: bacterium
Lineage: Bacteria
Description: partial 16S ribosomal RNA
Rfam family: Bacterial small subunit ribosomal RNA
Source: RNAcentral
UGGGGAAUAUUGCACAAUGGAGGGAACUCUGAUGCAGCGACGCCGCGUGAACGAAGAAGGCUUUUGAGUCGUAAAGUUCUUUUAUAUGGGAAGAUAAUGACGGUACCAUAAGAAGAAGCCCCGGCUAACUACGUGCCAGCAGCCGCGGUAAUACGUAGGGGGCUAGCGUUGUCCGGAAUCACUGGGCGUAAAGGGUUCGCAGGCGGAAAUGCAAGUCAGGUGUAAAAGGCAGUAGCUUAACUACUGUAAGCAUUUGAAACUGCAUAUCUUGAGAAGAGUAGAGGUAAGUGGAAUUUUUAGUGUAGCGGUGAAAUGCGUAGAUAUUAAAAAGAAUACCGGUGGCGAAGGCGACUUACUGGGCUCAUUCUGACGCUGAGGAACGAAAGCGUGGGUAGCAAACAGG